Molecule: transfer RNA, 73 nt
Filed under: Serinicoccus hydrothermalis
Lineage: Bacteria; Bacillati; Actinomycetota; Actinomycetes; Micrococcales; Ornithinimicrobiaceae
Description: Serinicoccus sp. JLT9 tRNA
Rfam family: tRNA
About the family: Transfer RNA (tRNA) molecules are approximately 80 nucleotides in length. Their secondary structure includes four short double-helical elements and three loops (D, anti-codon, and T loops). Further hydrogen bonds mediate the characteristic L-shaped molecular structure. tRNAs have two regions of fundamental functional importance: the anti-codon, which is responsible for specific mRNA codon recognition, and the 3' end, to which the tRNAs corresponding amino acid is attached (by aminoacyl-tRNA synthetases). tRNAs cope with the degeneracy of the genetic code in two manners: having more than one tRNA (with a specific anti-codon) for a particular amino acid; and 'wobble' base-pairing, i.e. permitting non-standard base-pairing at the 3rd anti-codon position.
Source: Rfam by way of RNAcentral
GGGCCCGUACUUCAGUUGGUAGAAGAGCGCGUUUACACCGCGUAGGUCGUCGGUUCGAGCCCGGCCGGGCCCA